AGGGUCUCUUGCUCUGUCACCCAGGCUGGAGUGGCAGUGUUGCGAUCUUGGCUCACUGCAACCUCUGCCUCCCAGGUUCAAGCGAUUCUCUGGCCUCAGCCUCCCAAGUAACUGGGACUACAGGUGUGCGUCACCAUGCCUGGCUAAUUUUAAAUUUUUGAUAGAGAUGGGGUCUCGCUAUGUUUCCCAGGCUGUAUUACUGUUUUUGAAUACAUAGGUCAGUGACAACAGGGAACUAGGUCUCACAGUGACCUGCUAUGGACUUCAGAGAUUCCUUGGCAAGGCAUUGUCAAAAAUAUAAGGUUCAUGUUGAAGUUGUCAUAAAAUUUUUAUGUAGCUGUAUAAAU
Molecule: non-coding RNA, 347 nt
Filed under: Pongo abelii (Sumatran orangutan)
Lineage: Eukaryota; Metazoa; Chordata; Mammalia; Primates; Hominidae
Source: RNAcentral